ACGCACCGCUUUCUGUUUUUCCUGAGCCUUUGCCUGCUAAGAGGGAGACCAGGUCAUGGCAGCCAUGCCUCUGAAAGCUCAAUACCAGGAGAUGGUGACCUUCGAGGAUGUGGCUGUGCACUUCACCAAGACAGAAUGGACUGGCCUUUCUCCUGCCCAGAGGGCCCUGUACAGAAGUGUGAUGUUGGAGAAUUUUGGGAACCUGACUGCUUUGGGUAAGGCCAUUUUCCUCCUAGGACUCAGAUCUGUACUUUUCCAGUUUCCUUCCUUCUUUUACAGCCUGGGGGGAGGAGUGUGGAGUGGAGAGGAGAGGUUGUCUCUUGUGUCCUCCACUGAGUGACUGCAGAGCUGAGGCUCAGUGACCAACUUCAAAGAUUGCUGGGUAGGGAGAGGUCUUGGGUCACUUUGGUCUCCCAAUGAAGGGAAUUACUGUCCCCUGGUAAGAGUAUGUUCCAUCUUCCAAGAGGCUCUGCACAGUAAGGAAUAAGUAGUAGUUGUUGUCUGGGGAAGGGCAUGUCCCCUUCCCUGUGUUUGCUCAUGCCUUGUGGAUCUCACUGACUUACUUAUCCUUGAGUGUUUUUUUUAGGAAGAAGUCACAAAUGCUCAGUUUCCUGUUGAUCGGAAUCUCUUUGGCCUUCUCCAGUCGAGAACCCUCUUCUGUGGGUCUUAUUCUUACUGAGACUCCUGGGGUUUUCCUUCUUUUGACACAGCAGAUACAGGGCUGAAAAGUACCAUUUUCUUCCUGUUUUCAGGGUACCCAGUUCCCAAACCUGCACUGAUCUCACUUUUGGAGAGAGGGGACAUGGCUUGGGGCCUGGAAGCACAGGAUGAUCCCCCAGCAGAGAGGACCAAAAACGUCUGUAAAGGUAGGUGA
RNAcentral lists this long non-coding RNA (874 nucleotides) under Homo sapiens (human). RNAcentral describes it as "non-protein coding lnc-ZNF23-5:1". Lineage: Eukaryota; Metazoa; Chordata; Mammalia; Primates; Hominidae. The record is from RNAcentral.